GAAGAUCUCGUGACUGAAUGAAUGACAUGGAUGUUGAUGAUGUAUGCUACGCUGCAGGGUGCACGCAUUUAUGAUUUGCUCUUGUUAUUUCUUUCAAUUUUUCAUUUUGUUUUUUAUUAUGUAUGAUGUUGAGUGCACUGAUGAUGAUGCUAUGUAUGUUGUACUGUUAACUCAUUGCAAUGCAAUUCAUGUGUAAUUGAUACUCAACUCAAAUCAAUCAUAAAUUGUUUUU
This 232-nucleotide long non-coding RNA is filed under the name Lathyrus oleraceus (garden pea). Its description in RNAcentral is "Pisum sativum (pea) long non-coding RNA (PSAT_LNC012978)". Lineage: Eukaryota; Viridiplantae; Streptophyta; Magnoliopsida; Fabales; Fabaceae. The record is from RNAcentral.